Molecule: long non-coding RNA, 2313 nt
Organism: Magallana angulata
Lineage: Eukaryota; Metazoa; Mollusca; Bivalvia; Ostreida; Ostreidae
Exons: 2
Source: RefSeq, a predicted model, not a curated record
AGGUCCAUAGAUUCAGUGUGUGCCAGAAAUACAAUGUGGAGGUCCAUGGAUGGAGGAACAAUUCAUUGUGUGCCAGAAAUACAACGUGGAGGUCCAUGGAUGGAGGUACAAUUCAGUGUGUGCCAGAAAUACAACAUGGAGGUUCAUGGAUGGAGGUACAAUUCAGUGUGUGCCAGAAAUACGUGGAGGUCCAUGGAUGGAGGUACAAUUCAGUGUGUGCAGAAAUACAACAUGGAGGUUCAUGGAUGGAGGUACAAUUCAGUGUGUGCAGAAAUACAACGUGGAGGUUCAUGGAUAGAGGUACAAUUCAGUGUGUGCCAGAAAUACACCGGGAGGUCCAUAGAUGGAGGUACAAUGACAAGUCAUGACACAGCGGAAGGUUAAUAUUUAUUUCAAAUCAGACUGAGGAAGAAGACUUCCUGAAUACAUGCCCAUAACAGGGAAGGAAGUCAUCCCUUCAUUAAUAGAUAGACAAGGUACAACAGUUAUACUCUGCUGGAAUAAAAGAUAGAACAUAUUUCUCCUAUUCAUAUCACAACAACAACUGUCUUUUUUAAUAGUAUUAAAGGUAGAUUGUUUUGUUCCACUAAAACAUGACCUGCUCCAAAUAGUAUUGUAUGUUCUUUCAUUUUGAAAGUCAUGAUCUACUUGAUAUGAGUAUAUCCUAGGUAAUUAUAAUUAUUGUUACAUCUGAUAGAAAGCUAUGGUCUUUUAAAGCCAUAUGAGCUGAAAUUUUCAUGUUGGAAUAUUUUAUACUAAAAUUCUAAUAAAUACGUAACUUCUGUUCAUAUUUUGGAGAAAGUGCUAUUUAGAAGCUAUGAUUGGAGCAAAUUUACUAAUUGUUGUCAUUUACAUAAAAUAGUUUGCUAUAUUUUUCAUUGUACAGGAAUCUUUUUAAUUAUAAAAUUUAACAAUUUGAUUUCAUCUAUUUUAUCCUAUUUAGGAAGAUUUAGUUUAUACACAGAAUUAUCAUAUUAGCAUGUUUAAGCAGCAAAAAAAUGAAGUUCUAAAAAAUACAGCUAAUUUUGCUCAACAAGAAUCAUCAAAACAUAGGUCUCUGAAUCUACAUAGGUACUGUGGAAUCAUCAUUGUUUGUGGAGGACCACUGAAUCUACAUAGGUACUGUGGAAUCAUCAUUGUUUGUGGAGGACCACUGAAUCUACAUAGGUACUGUGGAAUCAUCAUUGUUUGUGGAGGACCACUGAAUCUACAUAGGUACUGUGGAAUCAUCAUUGUUUGUGGAGGACCACUGAAUCUACAUAGGUACUGUGGAAUCAUCAUUGUUUGUGGAGGACCACUGAAUCUACAUAAGUACUGUGGAAUCAUCAUUGUUUGUGGAGGACCACUGAAUCUACAUAGGUACUGUGGAAUCAUCAUUGUUUGUGGAGGACCACUGAAUCUACAUAAGUACUGUAGAAUCAUCAUUGUUACAAAAGUCUCUGAAUCUACAUAGGUACUGUGGAAUCAUCAUUGUUUGUGGAGGACCAAUGUUCGUGGCCUUCAUGGGUAACCCUGGCCCACGAAUUUACAUCCCCCACAAACCUAUAAACAAACAUUUGUUUAACAGUUUUGAAAAUUACCCUGAUAAUUCUAUCAAUGAAAUUACGUCCCCACAAACCAGGAACAUUUCGGUUACCCCCAUGAAUAACAAGAGGUCCAUGGGCUACAUGUCUCACCCGAGCAACAAUAGGUAUGAUAAUAGCAGUUUAAUGGAGUCAUAAUAUGGUAUAAUACAUGUAGAUCCUGUAUAAAUAAAAAUCCAUUUCCCCCCUUGGAUAUUCCUAUGUUUAUAAUCAUGUCCCUUUUCUAAUAGUCAUAUCACAUGUUGAGCAUUGCAGUUCUAAAGAAAGAUCCUAAAGAAUUGUUUAUAUAUGGGAUAUAAAUCUACAUCAAACUCUUAACCCCUUGUGUGGCCCAAGAAUCGUCAAGACGCCAAAGUCAAAACAGUUUUUAAAAAUCAGCAAUAUGUCAAAAUGCCUGUAUUAGUUAAAACCAUAUGUGAUAACAUUUCAGUUUUUGUCAAUAAUUGUAAAGCUUUCCUUUGUAAAAUUGGAUCCGCAAUGUAGAUCCACCCUACUCCUCAAGAUUUUGAUUUUAAGGAAUUUGAAUCUACACUAUCUGAGGUUGCUUUCAAUAAAGUUACAGCUUUUCUAUAUUUAUUCCUAUGUAAAAAUUUGACCCUCAUUCGGGGGUAUUGAUUUUCUCAACUUUGAAUCUACACUACCUAAGGAUGCUUCCACAUAAGUUUCAGCUUUCCUAGCUGAUUUGUUUCUGAGAAGAAGAUAUUUAAAGAUUUACUCUAUAUAUUCCUAU